RNAcentral lists this ribosomal RNA (492 nucleotides) under uncultured bacterium. RNAcentral describes it as "partial 16S ribosomal RNA". It matches the Rfam family "Bacterial small subunit ribosomal RNA", at positions 29 to 507 of the family's 1533-position model. The record is from RNAcentral.
AGUGAACGCUGGCGGUAGGCCUAACACAUGCAAGUCGAACGGCAGCACAGUAAGAGCUUUCUCUUACGGGUGGCGAGUGGCGGACGGGUGAGGAAUACAUCGGAAUCUACUUUUUCGUGGGGGAUAACGUAGGGAAACUUACGCUAAUACCGCAUACGACCUACGGGUGAAAGCAGGGGAUCUUCGGACCUUGCGCGAUUGAAUGAGCCGAUGUCGGAUUAGCUAGUUGGCGGGGUAACGGCCCACCAAGGCGACGAUCCGUAGCUGGUCUGAGAGGACGACCAGCCACACUGAGGCUGAGACACGGCCCAGACUACUACGGGAGGCAGCAGUGGGGAAUUUUGGACAAUGGGGGCAACCCUGAUCCAGCCAUGCCGCGUGAGGGAAGAAGGCCUUCGGGUUGUAAACCGCUUUUGUUCGGGAAGAAAGCCUCUGGGCUAAUACCCCGGGGGGAUGACGGUACCGGAAGAAUAAGCACCGGCUAACUACGUG